AGUUAAAUAUCAAUUGAAGAUUUUAUACUUUGAAAGUAUAAACCAGGAGUUUAAAUCUCCUUUUAACUU
RNAcentral lists this transfer RNA (69 nucleotides) under Chorisoserrata biceps. RNAcentral describes it as "tRNA-Ser". It matches the Rfam family "tRNA". Rfam says of the family: Transfer RNA (tRNA) molecules are approximately 80 nucleotides in length. Their secondary structure includes four short double-helical elements and three loops (D, anti-codon, and T loops). The record is from RNAcentral. Lineage: Eukaryota; Metazoa; Arthropoda; Insecta; Blattodea; Pseudophyllodromiidae.